Molecule: long non-coding RNA, 420 nt
Filed under: Nicotiana benthamiana
Lineage: Eukaryota; Viridiplantae; Streptophyta; Magnoliopsida; Solanales; Solanaceae
Description: long non-coding RNA (NBEN_LNC038103)
Source: RNAcentral
AUGAUCUCAGUUCCAAAAAGUGCUUUUUGUACAGGGAUGUUAUCUUUCAAGAAACUUCUUUUCCUUUCAAAUCUGCUUCUUCUGUCACCUCUGCUCCUCCUGUUUUUCCUUCUUCUUUUCAUUAUGUUCCUCCUCUUGAGCAUUCCCUUUCUGAGCCAAAUUUCUCUAUUCCCAUCUCUUCCUCUCCACCUUCACCUUCUGUUCUAGUUUCUCCUUCUUCAUAUCCAAUUUCCAGUCCUCCUUUCAACCCUGACAUCUCACCUCCUACUUUACCUUCUUCCACAUCAACUGCUGUUCCCAGGAAAUCUGGAAGACAGCACAAUCCUCCUUCUUACCUUAAGGAUUAUGUUUUCCACCUUCCUGCUUUCUCUGGGUCUUCUUCUUCUCCUCUGGAAAUUGAACCUCUUUACUACUCUCAAG